AGUUUGAUCCUGGCUCAGGAUGAACGCUAGCUACAGGCUUGACACAUGCAAGUCGAGGGGCAGCAUGGUCUUAGCUUGCUAAGGCUGAUGGCGACCGGCGCACGGGUGAGUAACACGUAUCCAACCUGCCGUCUACUCUUGGCCAGCCUUCUGAAAGGAAGAUUAAUCCAGGAUGGCAUCAUGAGUUCACAUGUCCGCAUGAUUAAAGGUAUUUUCCGGUAGACGAUGGGGACGCGUUCCAUUAGAUAGUAGGCGGGGUAACGGCCCACCUAGUCAACGAUGGAUAGGGGUUCUGAGAGGAAGGUCCCCCACAUUGGAACUGAGACACGGUCCAAACUCCUACGGGAGGCAGCAGUGAGGAAUAUUGGUCAAUGGGCGAUGGCCUGAACCAGCCAAGUAGCGUGAAGGAUGACUGCCCUAUGGGUUGUAAACUUCUUUUAUAAAGGAAUAAAGUCGGGUAUGCAUACCCGUUUGCAUGUACUUUAUGAAUAAGGAUCGGCUAACUCCGUGCCAGCAGCCGCGGUAAUACGGAGGAUCCGAGCGUUAUCCGGAUUUAUUGGGUUUAAAGGGAGCGUAGAUGGAUGUUUAAGUCAGUUGUGAAAGUUUGCGGCUCAACCGUAAAAUUGCAGUUGAUACUGGAUGUCUUGAGUGCAGUUGAGGCAGGCGGAAUUCGUGGUGUAGCGGUGAAAUGCUUAGAUAUCACGAAGAACUCCGAUUGCGAAGGCAGCCUGCUAAGCUGCAACUGACAUUGAGGCUCGAAAGUGUGGGUAUCAAACAGGAUUAGAUACCCUGGUAGUCCACACGGUAAACGAUGAAUACUCGCUGUUUGCGAUAUACGGCAAGCGGCCAAGCGAAAGCGUUAAGUAUUCCACCUGGGGAGUACGCCGGCAACGGUGAAACUCAAAGGAAUUGACGGGGGCCCGCACAAGCGGAGGAACAUGUGGUUUAAUUCGAUGAUACGCGAGGAACCUUACCCGGGCUUAAAUUGCACUCGAAUGAUCCGGAAACGGUUCAGCUAGCAAUAGCGAGUGUGAAGGUGCUGCAUGGUUGUCGUCAGCUCGUGCCGUGAGGUGUCGGCUUAAGUGCCAUAACGAGCGCAACCCUUGUUGUCAGUUACUAACAGGUGAUGCUGAGGACUCUGACAAGACUGCCAUCGUAAGAUGUGAGGAAGGUGG
Molecule: ribosomal RNA, 1175 nt
Filed under: uncultured Bacteroides sp.
Lineage: Bacteria; Pseudomonadati; Bacteroidota; Bacteroidia; Bacteroidales; Bacteroidaceae
Description: bacterial SSU rRNA
Rfam family: Bacterial small subunit ribosomal RNA
Source: RNAcentral